RNAcentral lists this ribosomal RNA (254 nucleotides) under uncultured bacterium. RNAcentral describes it as "partial 16S ribosomal RNA". It matches the Rfam family "Bacterial small subunit ribosomal RNA", at positions 524 to 776 of the family's 1533-position model. The record is from RNAcentral.
UACGUAGGGGGCGAGCGUUGUCCGGAAUCAUUGGGCGUAAAGAGCUCGUAGGCGGUUCAGCAAGUCGGCUGUGAAAUUCCGAGGCUCAACCUCGGAACUGCAGUCGAUACUGCUGUGACUCGAGUCCGGUAGAGGAGAAUGGAAUUCCCGGUGUAGCGGUGAAAUGCGCAGAUAUCGGGAGGAACACCAGUAGCGAAGGCGGUUCUCUGGGCCGGUACUGACGCUGAGGAGUGAAAGCGUGGGGAGCAAACAGG